Long non-coding RNA from Panthera uncia (snow leopard), 536 nucleotides. RefSeq lists it as uncharacterized. The record is from RefSeq and is a predicted model, not a curated record. The transcript is spliced from 2 exons. NCBI's taxonomy places the organism in Eukaryota, Metazoa, Chordata, Mammalia, Carnivora, Felidae.
AGGUACAGAGUCAAGUGUGAGAGAGAAACAGCGUGGUGUCAGAUGGUGAAAAAUGGAACUAGAUGUAAUGAAAGUAACAAGGACAGAAUGUGAGCGGGAGAGAGAAAGAGAGACACAGAAUCCGAAGCAGGCUCCAGGCUUUGAGCUGUCAGCACAGAGCCCCAUGUGGGGCUCGAACUCAUGAGCUCUGAGAUCAUGAUCCGAGCUGAAGUCGGCCGUCCAACCGACUGAGCUGCCCAGGCAUCCCAGUCAGCAUACCCUCUUCCCUAUAUUCUUUCUCUGAAGUCAAGAACAAUUUAUGUACAAUAAAAUUCACCUCAUUUAGACAGAAUGUUUGGUGUAUGUUGACAUCCAUGAUCAUGUAACCACCGCUAGCAUCUGUAACAGGGUAUUUCCACUGUCCCAAGAAGUUCUUCUGUCUCCUUUGUAGUUGAUGCCCUGUUUCCACCCCAUCCCCUGACAACCAUUCAUCUGAUUGAUGUCUAUAGUUUAACCUUUUCCAGAUCAUCAUAUAAAUGGAAUCAUACUGUGUAGAA